GUGAAUCAUCGAAUCUUUGAACGCACAUUGCGCCCUCUGGUAUUCCGGGGGGCAUGCCUGUUCGAGCGUCAUUACAACCCUCAAGCUCUGCUUGGUAUUGGGCCUCGCCGUCUGGCGGGCCUUAAAAUCAGUGGCGGUGCCGUCUGGCUCCAAGCGUAGUAAUACAUCUCGCUUUGGAGGCUGGCGUGUGCUUGCCAACAACCCCCAAUUUUUUCAGGUUGACCUCGGAUCAGGUAGGGAUACCCGCUGAACUUAAGCAUAUCAAUAAGCGGAGGA
Molecule: unclassified non-coding RNA, 276 nt
Filed under: Ascomycota sp.
Lineage: Eukaryota; Fungi; Ascomycota
Description: partial contains 5.8S ribosomal RNA, internal transcribed spacer 2, and large subunit ribosomal RNA
Rfam family: 5.8S ribosomal RNA (bases 1-71)
Source: RNAcentral